CAUGUCCUUUUGAUAAUAAUUUAAGGUCUAAUCUGCCCACUGAGGAGUUAAAUGGCCGCGGUAUUUUGACCGUGCAAAGGUAGCAUAAUCAUUAGUUUCUUAAUUAGAAGCUGGAAUGAAUGAUUGGAUGAGAAAAUAACUGUCUCAAAUUAAUUUAGUUUGAAUUUUAUAUUUAAGUUAAAAAGCUUAAAUUUAAUUAAAAGACGAGAAGACCCUAUAGAGUUUAAUUUUAAAAUUAGAUUUUAAAUUAUUGAUUUUAUUGUUAAAAUUUAUUUUUAAAAUUUUGUUGGGGUGAUAGAAAAAUUUAAUUAACUUUUUUUAAAUAUUAACAUUAAUUAAUGAAUAAUUGAUCCAAAAUUUUUGAUUAAAAGAAUAAAUUACCUUAGGGAUAACAGCGUAAUUUUUUUUAAGAGUUCUUAUCGAAAAAAAAGAUUGCGACCUCGAUGUUGGAUUAAAAUUAAUUUUUGGUGUAGAAGCUAAAAAAUUAGGUCUGUUCGACCUUUAAAAUUUUACAUGAUCUGAGUUCA
This 527-nucleotide ribosomal RNA is filed under the name Trichodes favarius. RNAcentral describes it as "partial 16S ribosomal RNA". It matches the Rfam family "Bacterial large subunit ribosomal RNA", at positions 1816 to 2613 of the family's 2925-position model. Lineage: Eukaryota; Metazoa; Arthropoda; Insecta; Coleoptera; Cleridae. The record is from RNAcentral.